AGAGUUUGAUUAUGGCUCAGGAUGAACGCUAGCUACAGGCUUAACACAUGCAAGUCGAGGGGCAGCAUUGGAGUAGCAAUACUCAGAUGGCGACCGGCGCACGGGUGAGUAACACGUAUCCAACCUGCCGCUUACUCGGGGAUAGCCUUUCGAAAGAAAGAUUAAUACCCGAUGGUAUAAAGAGUUCGCAUGUUCUCUUUAUUAAAGAAUUUCGGUAAGCGAUGGGGAUGCGUUCCAUUAGAUAGUUGGCGGGGUAACGGCCCACCAAGUCUACGAUGGAUAGGGGUUCUGAGAGGAAGGUCCCCCACAUUGGAACUGAGACACGGUCCAAACUCCUACGGGAGGCAGCAGUGAGGAAUAUUGGUCAAUGGACGAGAGUCUGAACCAGCCAAGUAGCGUGAAGGAUGACUGCCCUAUGGGUUGUAAACUUCUUUUAUAAGGGAAUAAAGUGAGGGACGUGUCCCUUUUUGUAUGUACCUUAUGAAUAAGGAUCGGCUAACUCCGUGCCAGCCGCAGC
This 517-nucleotide ribosomal RNA is filed under the name uncultured bacterium. Its description in RNAcentral is "bacterial SSU rRNA". It matches the Rfam family "Bacterial small subunit ribosomal RNA", at positions 8 to 518 of the family's 1533-position model. The record is from RNAcentral.